Molecule: ribosomal RNA, 601 nt
Filed under: uncultured bacterium
Lineage: Bacteria
Description: bacterial SSU rRNA
Rfam family: Bacterial small subunit ribosomal RNA
Source: RNAcentral
AGAGUUUGAUCCUGGCUCAGGAUGAACGCUAGCUACAGGCUUAACACAUGCAAGUCGAGGGGCAGCAUCAUCAAAGCUUGCUUUGAUGGAUGGCGACCGGCGCACGGGUGAGUAACACGUAUCCAACCUGCCGACAACACUGGGAUAGCCUUUCGAAAGAAAGAUUAAUACCGGAUGGUAUAGUUUUCCCGCAUGGGAUGAUUAUUAAAGAAUUUCGGUUGUCGAUGGGGAUGCGUUCCAUUAGGCAGUUGGCGGGGUAACGGCCCACCAAACCUACGAUGGAUAGGGGUUCUGAGAGGAAGGUCCCCCACAUUGGAACUGAGACACGGUCCAAACUCCUACGGGAGGCAGCAGUGAGGAAUAUUGGUCAAUGGACGAGAGUCUGAACCAGCCAAGUAGCGUGAAGGAUGACUGCCCUAUGGGUUGUAAACUUCUUUUAUACGGGAAUAAAGUGAGCCACGUGUGGCUUUUUGUAUGUACCGUAUGAAUAAGGAUCGGCUAACUCCGUGCCAGCAGCCGCGGUAAUACGGAGGAUCCGAGCGUUAUCCGGAUUUAUUGGGUUUAAAGGGAGCGUAGGCGGGUUGUUAAGUCAGUUGUGAAA